RNAcentral lists this long non-coding RNA (966 nucleotides) under Cyanistes caeruleus (blue tit). RNAcentral describes it as "lncRNA (ENSCCEG00000015672.1)". The record is from RNAcentral. Lineage: Eukaryota; Metazoa; Chordata; Aves; Passeriformes; Paridae.
CUUACCAUUUAAUGGUACUAAUAAGGUUUAGAAAGAAGAUGUAGGACUUAUUUCAACUGGUGGGUCUUGUAGGGUCUUUGUAUUACUGGGAUGCAUAAAACCCACCCUGGAGUUUCCAACAGUUGAUUAUUUUAUCCCAGGUUUAGGGUACUGUUCACACACUAUCCCUGGGUUUGGUGCCCACCUCCAGGGAAUGUUCACAGCCUGAGGACUCCAUGCUGAGGGGUGAAUUUGCCAUCAUCUAUCAGCAAAUGCACAAGAGCACCACUUACACCCAUCCUCUCUAACUGCCUGGAUUCACUGGAGCACUGAAUCCUGGCUAUGGCCACAGAUGGAAUACAUCCCAGUUCUGUUUCUUAGGCACAGGUACUGGAUUAGCACAUCUCACUGUUUUUUGUCCCUGUACUCCAAAUAACCAAGAGCAAGCACAGUUAAUUACUGUCUCUCUACUCAAAGUAACCGAGCAUGGUUAAUUAUUUUUUAAGGCUCAUUACAACAGAAAUCCCAUUUUUUUCAGGCAAGCAAGACAACUGAGGAGUGAAAGCUGAAAAUUCUCAUUUUGUCUUAUUCACAAAGCUCGAACUCUGCUUCCUUAGCAACCCUUUGUGACCUAUGAACUGCAAUCUUGGCCAUAGUUGUUAACCUGUGAAUCUUGGCACUUGAACAAAUCUCCCUCCUCCAGCUUCAGAUAAUCCAAGAUUCUUAAAGUUUUGAAAAAGACUUGGGACUACAAUCAUCUGCCACGUGUGGAAACCCCAGGAGAUUCUUUCAGAAAUGACCUUUCUGGACAUCGAUUAAACUCAGUCACAACAGGUUAACAAGGCCAUGCAGACUACCCCCAUCUCCUGCCUUCCACUCCUGAGCCACGGGCUGGGCACAGCCUUCAAAUGUCCUGAGAUACUUCCCUCAGAUGGCUGGAACAACACACCAGCAAUGCCAAGGCUGUGGGUUUGGAGCUCCUGAAGA